This 465-nucleotide ribosomal RNA is filed under the name uncultured bacterium. Its description in RNAcentral is "partial 16S ribosomal RNA". It matches the Rfam family "Bacterial small subunit ribosomal RNA", at positions 339 to 795 of the family's 1533-position model. The record is from RNAcentral.
CUACGGGCGGCUGCAGUGGGGAAUAUUGCACAAUGGGCGCAAGCCUGAUGCAGCCAUGCCGCGUGUAUGAAGAAGGCCUUCGGGUUGUAAAGUACUUUCAGCGGGGAGGAAGGGAGUAAAGUUAAUACCUUUGCUCAUUGACGUUACCCGCAGAAGAAGCACCGGCUAACUCCGUGCCAGCAGCCGCGGUAAUACGGAGGGUGCAAGCGUUAAUCGGAAUUACUGGGCGUAAAGGCGCACGCAGGCGGUUUGUUAAGUCAGAUGUGAAAUCCCCGGGCUCAACCUGGGAACUGCAUCUGAUACUGGCAAGCUUGAGUCUCGUAGAGGGGGGUAGAAUUCCAGGUGUAGCGGUGAUAUGCGUAGAGAUCUGGAGGAAUACCGGUGGCGAAGGCGGCCCCCUGGACGAAGACUGACGCUCAGGUGCGAAAGCGUGGGGAGCAAACAGGAUUAGAUACCCGGGUAGUC